This 1057-nucleotide long non-coding RNA is filed under the name Fragaria vesca (wild strawberry). RNAcentral's name for it is "long non-coding RNA (FVES_LNC004034)". The record is from RNAcentral. Lineage: Eukaryota; Viridiplantae; Streptophyta; Magnoliopsida; Rosales; Rosaceae.
AUUUAGUUUUAAUAACCUUCAACGGUUUUAGUUUGACAUAAGCUUGACCGUUCAAGAUCAUUAAAACUAAAUCAAACUUUUGAAAGCCUUAACGAUCACCAAAUCAUAUGAAAUUUUGUAGAGGUGAUAUACUCAUAUAGACCUAAGAUAUGAAAGGUGGAGAUGUAAAAAUUCAAUUGGGAAAUGAUGUAAUGCCCUAUCCCUAGAAAGUGGCCAAAAAUAGGGAUCCCUCAAUGGAAGGGGGCUGUAAAGAGCCCCGAGCCAAUAAAGACUGAGAAGGUUGACUCAAAAACAAAUUUCAUUAGAGGCUCCGUUGUAGAGUUCAGACCUAAUCAUUACUCGAGAGGUGGUGGGAACGACAGAACCUGUGAAUGCAUCAGAUUCUAUUGAAAAGGAAUCCUAAUGAUUCAGUGGGUAGGAUGGCGGAACGAACCAGAAUUCAUUAUUUGUUUUUGAAAGAUUAUGUCAUAAACUAAUCUUACAACUAAAUGUUGAAAGAGUAAAUAUUCGCCCGCGAUUUUUUUUUUUAGAAAUUUGAAUAAAUUCGAUAUGAUAAUAAAAGCAAAAUAAAUAAAGAUUCAUUAUAACAUUAUACCUAAAUUACAUUAUCUAUAAAUAGAAUACUGAUGAAGGAUAAAGUGUAGAGAAAGAGAGAUAGCAAGAGAAUCAUCUUAUUCAUUGAUAGGAGCCCUUUAUAUAGGGAAUUACACAAUAUCAAUAUGGUAAGGAUAUGAAUACAUAGAUAUAGUCUAACUACAUAUCCUAUUGGCAUAAGGCCAAGACACACAUAGAGAAUAUCCUAGAACACUCCCCCUUGUGCCGCGCGCUGAUAUGCCGAUGGUGCUGAUCUGUUGCCUCGUCAAAAACCUCGUCAGGUUACAAAAACCCUGUGGGAGAAAAACUGAACCUUGAUCGUAGGAGAAAAAGAGUACAACGCACCAUUCACAUUUGAUAGUGACAUGUAUGUAUGUGCUAGACUCCCCCUGAAGUUCGCACCUCCCCUGAUCUUUACAUCAAUCAUAGGGCUCUUCCUGAUUCUUACUAAUCACGGAAGUUU